GAUGAACGCUAGCGGCAGGCUUAACACAUGCAAGUCGAGGGGUAACAGGAAGUGCUUGCACUUCGCUGACGACCGGCGAACGGGUGCGUAACGCGUAUGCAACCUACCUUCUACAGGGGGAUAGCCCAGAGAAAUUUGGAAUAAUACCCCAUACGGUCAUUUAAUGGCAUCGUUAAAUGAAGAAAACUCCGGUGGUAGAAGAUGGGCAUGCGUCCUAUUAGUUAGUUGGUAAGGUAAUGGCUUACCAAGACACCGAUAGGUAGGGGUCCUGAGAGGGAGAUCCCCCACACUGGUACUGAGACACGGACCAGACUCCUACGGGAGGCAGCAGUGAGGAAUAUUGGACAAUGGAGGCAACUCUGAUCCAGCCAUGCCGCGUGCAGGAAGACGGCCCUACGGGUUGUAAACUGCUUUUAUACAGGAAGAAACUGCGCUACGAGUAGCGUACUGACGGUACUGUAAGAAUAAGGAUCGGCUAACUCCGUGCCAGCCGCCGCGGUAACAC
RNAcentral lists this ribosomal RNA (505 nucleotides) under uncultured bacterium. RNAcentral's name for it is "bacterial SSU rRNA". It matches the Rfam family "Bacterial small subunit ribosomal RNA", at positions 28 to 526 of the family's 1533-position model. The record is from RNAcentral.